UACGAAGGGGGCUAGCGUUAAUCGGAAUUACUGGGCGUAAAGCGUGCGCAGGCGGUUGUGCAAGACAGAUGUGAAAUCCCCGGGCUCAACCUGGGAAUUGCAUUUGUGACUGCACGGCUAGAGUGUGUCAGAGGGGGGUAGAAUUCCACGUGUAGCAGUGAAAUGCGUAGAGAUGUGGAGGAAUACCGAUGGCGAAGGCAGCCCCCUGGGAUAACACUGACGCUCAUGCACGAAAGCGUGGGGAGCAAACAGG
Molecule: ribosomal RNA, 253 nt
Filed under: uncultured bacterium
Lineage: Bacteria
Description: partial 16S ribosomal RNA
Rfam family: Bacterial small subunit ribosomal RNA
Source: RNAcentral